This 514-nucleotide ribosomal RNA is filed under the name Hanseniaspora uvarum. Its description in RNAcentral is "partial large subunit ribosomal RNA". It matches the Rfam family "Eukaryotic large subunit ribosomal RNA", at positions 120 to 648 of the family's 3401-position model. The record is from RNAcentral. Lineage: Eukaryota; Fungi; Ascomycota; Saccharomycetes; Saccharomycodales; Saccharomycodaceae.
AUCUGGUACUUUCAGUGCCCGAGUUGUAAUUUGUAGAAUUUGUCUUUGAUUAGGUCCUUGUCUAUGUUCCUUGGAACAGGACGUCAUAGAGGGUGAGAAUCCCGUUUGGCGAGGAUACCUUUUCUCUGUAAGACUUUUUCGAAGAGUCGAGUUGUUUGGGAAUGCAGCUCAAAGUGGGUGGUAAAUUCCAUCUAAAGCUAAAUAUUGGCGAGAGACCGAUAGCGAACAAGUACAGUGAUGGAAAGAUGAAAAGAACUUUGAAAAGAGAGUGAAAAAGUACGUGAAAUUGUUGAAAGGGAAGGGCAUUUGAUCAGACAUGGUGUUUUUUGCAUGCACUCGCCUCUCGUGGGCUUGGGCCUCUCAAAAAUUUCACUGGGCCAACAUCAAUUCUGGCAGCAGGAUAAAUCAUUAAGAAUGUAGCUACUUCGGUAGUGUUAUAGCUUUUUGGAAUACUGUUAGCCGGGAUUGAGGACUGCGCUUCGGCAAGGAUGUUGGCAUAAUGGUUAAAUGCCGC